UGGGGAAUUUUGCACAAUGGGGGAAACCCUGAUGCAGCGACGCCGCGUGAUUUAGAAGGCCUUCGGGUUGUAAAAAUCUUUUCUAUGGGAAGAAAAUGACAGUACCAUAGGAAUAAGGACCGGCUAAUUACGUGCCAGCAGCCGCGGUAAUACGUAAGGUCCGAGCGUUGUCCGGAAUCAUUGGGCGUAAAGGGUACGUAGGCGGGUAAGCAAGUUAGAAGUGAAAUCCUAUAGCUCAACUAUAGUAAGCUUUUAAAACUGCUCAUCUUGAGGUAUGGAAGGGAAAGUGGAAUUCCUAGUGUAGCGGUGAAAUGCGCAGAUAAUAGGCGGAAUACCGGUGGCGAAGGCGACUUUCUGGCCAUAACCUGACGCUGAGGUACGAAAGCGUGGGUAGCAAACAGG
RNAcentral lists this ribosomal RNA (402 nucleotides) under bacterium. RNAcentral describes it as "partial 16S ribosomal RNA". It matches the Rfam family "Bacterial small subunit ribosomal RNA", at positions 355 to 776 of the family's 1533-position model. The record is from RNAcentral.